Molecule: unclassified non-coding RNA, 240 nt
Filed under: soil metagenome
Description: partial contains 5.8S ribosomal RNA, internal transcribed spacer 2, and large subunit ribosomal RNA
Source: RNAcentral
AACGGUCUAUACCUGCGGUACCUGCGGAGGGAUCAUCAUUGGAUUUAUAAUUUUUAAUUGUGAAAAGAUUUUCGGGUCUUUUAAUUAAAUUUAAAUGACUUGAAUUCUUUUUGCAAAAAACAAACAAAAAACUUUGACACCCAAAAAGUGAUGAAGUGAAUGAAAUGAUCUUUUCAAGGUCAUUCAUUCAUUCAUUCAGAAAAAGAAAAUGUGGUUGCCUGAUUAUAUAAGUGAUUGGUA